CCCCCCCCCCCCCCAGCAGAUCCCUUCAUCUCCCAUUUUCACCUCAGAAUCAAAGCCCUCCCCAGCCGGGGCCCUCCCAAUAACCUUCCCUCUAGCUCCGAUUCGGCACACGCGACCCCUGAAAUAAAACAUCGGGUGGGACCCGGGUUUGAGAUGAUCGUCGGAAAACCACCGUUGCCGUAAAUCCGGUUUACUUUUUAAACGGGGGACUGGGCUGAAAAAUUCAUGGGCCGCUUGCUUCCUCGGCCCACUGAUAGACGCAUUAAAGAGGGGGAUCCAUUUUUUUUUUUUAUGCUAGUGAAUUCUCCUUGCGGGAAGUACAUUCCUCUUUAAUUAACAGUCAUUAGACCGUAUCUUAUUAUCACCUGGCAGUCCGUUUUAGAGGUGCAAGCUCGAGCUGGUGAUGAUCGGAGCCAAUAAGCGGCACCUGAAGCCGGACGAGCCGAUUCCUCGUGGUCGCUGACUCCAUUGUGACCAAGAGUUCCAAAUGCCUCUUACAUUUGCCAUCUGACGAUCCAGAUAUUGGCACAGAGGGCAUGGCGCGGGGAUGCCAGGCUCUACGGUCUUUCACUCGGUCUCGGCCCGGCCCCACACAGACUUGUUCCCCGUGAACCAGGAACAUGAUCCCCAAAGAGGCGGAGAGAGGAGCAUGCAAAGGAAGAGUGAGAAAGGCACUUACCGAUUGAAAUGCACCAUUCCGAGCUGACGCUCACGGUUCUAACGGGCAAUGGCACAAAACCAGUUUGCGGCAUCCAUCCCAGUACUCAUCCAGCAAAGUAUUACCAAGUAAAAUAAGAUCUGCCAGGGGCAACCAUCGAUCCGCCCCUCUACCGGAGUUCUCAAGCUAAGAAAUGCCAGGGAACUACAGCACCACUCUCCUCCUCAGCUGAAAGCUCAGAGAUUCCCAGACACGGCUUAUAAAAGAAACGCCUUCAGCUCGAGAAAAAGAGACCCAAAACAUUAAACAUCGAAUUAAUUUUAGAAAGACUGCUGGUCCUUUCUUUCCCCCUCCCCGGAGCAGUGACGGUUCUCUCUGGGAGCCUCUUCAGAGACCCGAGGCUUGGGAUGCAAAGGAUUUAUUCAGAAUAGUCCAGCGGGAGGGGGGCAGAUAGGGGAGGUGAGCGGGGGAACUAAAAUUUUCAGCAGCCUAAUUACCAAGGAUGAUGGUCAGAGCCUUAUUUCCAUCGCCCGGGUGACACAGUGUCUCUCAAAAUGGAUCGGUGGUGAACUGGAAAAAUUAAAUCGAAUGCCUGAUUAGGGAUAUAAAUAGCUUCUUCCCUGCACAUUUCACAAGACACGGUGACGCUAGGGAGACACAACAUUUUCAAAGCUCUUCUCCGUGAGCCUGUAUAAACGUGCAGUGUUUCGGUCCAACUCUCAAUCAUUUCCAGAUAAUGCGCUUGUCUCGGGGCGUCUCGGUAUAUUUGGUACCUCACCAGCAAACCGUACGGGGCUUUUAAGUCGACGGUCAAGGGCUCGCUGUGGACAGACAAGCCUCCGGCAGACGAAUCCGCAAAGUCUAUUUACCGAGUAAGCUCUGACACCAGUCAAAACUCCCCCAGACGAAUAGUUGCCUGCUCUCUUCAGGGAACGGUGCUAUAAAAAAAGCGAUCGCGGAAUGGCCCGAGAUUGCUCCAUUUAAAACUAUAACACCCUGAGACAUUUCAACUUCUA
Molecule: long non-coding RNA, 1674 nt
Organism: Ornithorhynchus anatinus (platypus)
Lineage: Eukaryota; Metazoa; Chordata; Mammalia; Monotremata; Ornithorhynchidae
Exons: 3
Source: RefSeq, a predicted model, not a curated record